RNAcentral lists this long non-coding RNA (2775 nucleotides) under Zea mays. Its description in RNAcentral is "long non-coding RNA (ZMAY_LNC001341)". Lineage: Eukaryota; Viridiplantae; Streptophyta; Magnoliopsida; Poales; Poaceae. The record is from RNAcentral.
GCGUUAUAAGAUAGCACAGGGCCCUUGCUCCAUCCUAUGGCCGACGUGUUCACAUGGUGAUGAAGCCGAGCGAGAAGCGUCGAGUUAGGAGAGAGAGGGCAGUGAGAUCUGUCGUGGGCUAGAUGAGAGCCAUGUCGGUGAUAGGCCCGUGGCGGGCUCAAGGUUAAUCCCGGGCGUCCUCGGCGCUGCUCCAAUCGCUCACCGGAGCGCGGCAGUCGCCGUGGGAGCGCUCCUCGUUGUUGGUAGACCUACUCGCUACACGGUAAGUCUUCCCUCAAACGGUUCACCUUCAUCUCUAGCUCGCGUAGCAGCGGUGGGAGUCGUGGUAUGGUGUUGGGGCGCCUGUGUGCUCAUCGCCAUGGGACUAGAGAUGGCCAAACGGGCCGCCCGGCCCGGCCCGGCCCGGGCCCGGUGAAGCCCGGCCAAAAACCGGGCCGGGCCUGCUGAGCCAGCGGGCUUAAUUUUCUGUCCAAGCCCGGCCCGCAGCGGGCCUAAACGGGCCGGGCCGUUUAGCACGAAAAAAAACGGGCCGAAAAGCGGGCUAAACGGGCCGGUAAGCACGUUUAGUGUAAAAAAACGGGCUUAACGGGCUUAGAGGUAAACGGGUCGUGCCGGGCUAGCCCACCGUGCCUAGUUUCCUGUCCAAGCCCGCCCGCUUAUUCUACCGUGCCGGGCUCGAACCGGGCCCAAAAAGCGGGCUUCGUACCGGGCUCACGUGCCUCGUGCUUUUUGGCCAUCUAUACAUGGGACCACUUCGCGUCGGGUGGCCAUGGCUAGCUUGUAGGGAGAGAAGGAGCGGCGGGAGGCCGAGAGGAAGAUGACGUGCGCUGCGCCGUCAGAUUUUAGAGUAACGGCUCGGAUAACCCCCAGGGAUAACGUUUCAGUGGAUUAGAUCACGGUCGUCCGAUUCUAAUCCUGCGUAGGUUAUGCUUUGGCGCCGUUUUAAAAUCAUGACCGUCCGAUCGGGAUCGGACAGUCCGGAUUACAUACCGGUUCAGUAAAUACUUCAAUCUAUUUGCAGCCGUCCGAUGAUGAUCCAACAGCCCACAGUUGUCGAUACCCCUUCGACCAGCCUUAUUUCAAAAGAGACCCUAAGAAAUUAAAUAAUUAACCCGCAGUCUUCUCUAGGUGUUCACUGAGUCUAGGAAAACUUGCGAGAUAGCCCCUGCACUUUCCAGAAAUUGGCGCGCAGUCCAGAGGGAGAUAAAAAUAGAGAAAUAAUUAGGGAAAUUGAUUUUUAGUACAAAAAUAAAUUCAUAAACUUGUUUAAUUCAUAUUUAAUUCAUUCUAACUCCGAAUUAAUCCAUUCCAGUUUCUAUAAUUUUGUAAUAUUAUUGUUUAUCAUUUUGUGUCACUGUUUUGACAUGAAAGCCAUAUUAAAAUUGAUAUCCUAAUUAAUCUUGUACCAAGCACAUAGAAUCUUUAGAAAUCCAUAACUUAAAAUCUAGAACUCCAAAAUUAAUAAUUCCUGUUCCUGUGAUCUUAUUUAAAUAUGUAGAUUAUUAAUAUGUAUUUUGCAUAUAUGUUUGGUGUAAUGUUAAUUUUUGCCUAUACCAUGUUUGUCUGUAUUGAUACGUUUAGCACUCAGGACACGUGUCAUCCGAAGAGCAAGUUGGUACCUGGAAUCUCAAGUGCCAGGCAAGUUGUGCCCUAGAUCACUUCUUUUUACCCAGCCAUGUUCUGAUUAAUCAUAAUGAUCUGCAUAGGUUAAUUUUGAUGGGACCCAAUAGGUUACCCUAGUUUGUCUAUCUUUAUGCCUUGUUUACCACUGAACUUUUUGGGUAGUACUUGCUAGUGCUUUAUGUGGUUUUGGGUAUGAAGAUACAUUAUUCAUGAUCACACUUUUAUUAUCUAUUUAUUAUUACUGUUCAUGAUAAGAUCAUUAUGUUAAUUGGAACAUGGAGAGACCACCCGGGAAAACAGUGCUACCACAAGGGUUUAAUGGGACGCCCUUGGCUGAUUAAUUAGGAAAGCUAGUGGAAGACUACCUUACCCGAAAGGGGCAAGGGCAGUAGGGGAGUGGUCAGUGUAGGGAGGUCCUUGGUUGAUUUUGCUGCGAUGGCGGUCAGGCAAGAACCCUGCAUUGGAGCUUCCUAUAAACUGUAGCGGGUUUUCUGAAGCUAGUGGAACUUUGUAAAGGCAUCGUAGUGUUACCCUGCCUCGCCUCCUUGGUAGAGGUGUAUGGGAAGUCGCGAUCCCUUGGCAGAUGGGUAACAUGACUUGUGGUUAAAGAUGUGCAACCUCUGCAGAGUGUAAAACUGGUAUAUCAGCCGUGCUCACGGUCAAGAGCAGCUCGGACCCUCACAUGAUUAAUUUAUGGAACUAAAUUCAAUUUGUCAUACGCAUUGCAUCGCAGGUGAUGUUGUUACUUUUGUUCUACUAUUUAAUUAGGUUGGUAUUUACUUAUACUUAGUAAUUGCUAAUAAAAAUUUGACCAACUUUAAAAGCAAUGCUCAGCUCUAACCAUCUCCUUUGGUAAGCCUUACACUUCACGUGAGCUCCCACCUUUGGCGAGUUCAUGCACAUUAUUCCCCACAACUUGUUGAGCUAUGAACGUAUGUGAGCUCACUCUUGCUGUCUCACCCCCCCCCACAGGUCAAGAGCAGGUACCGAAGGAUGAGGCGCAUGAAGGAUGCUUUGAUGUGUUCGUGAGAGGUCUAGGCCGUCGUCUCCCAGUCAACUUUAGGUUGCUGGACCGUUGUCUCCUUAUAAUGUAAUUAUUCAUUUUUGUAUAGAACUCCUGAUAUAUAGUAAAGAUGUGACAUUCGAUCCUGU